CUGGCGGCGUGCUUACACAUGCAAGUCGAACGAUGAUGCCCAGCUUGCUGGGUGGAUUAGUGGCGAACGGGUGAGUAACACGUGAGUAACCUGCCCCUGACUCUGGGAUAAGCGUUGGAAACGACGUCUAAUACUGGAUAUGAUCACUGGCCGCAUGGUCUGGUGGUGGAAAGAUUUUUUGGUUGGGGAUGGACUCGCGGCCUAUCAGCUUGUUGGUGAGGUAAUGGCUCACCAAGGCGACGACGGGUAGCCGGCCUGAGAGGGUGACCGGCCACACUGGGACUGAGACACGGCCCAGACUCCUACGGGAGGCAGCAGUGGGGAAUAUUGCACAAUGGGCGAAAGCCUGAUGCAGCAACGCCGCGUGAGGGAUGACGGCCUUCGGGUUGUAAACCUCUUUUAGUAGGGAAGAAGCGAAAGUGACGGUACCUGCAGAAAAAGCACCGGCUAACUACGUGCCAGCAGCCGCGGUAAUACGUAGGGUGCAAGCGUUGUCCGGAAUUAUUGGGCGUAAAGAGCUCGUAGGCGGUUUGUCGCGUCUGCUGUGAAAUCCCGAGGCUCAACCUCGGGCUUGCAGUGGGUACGGGCAGACUAGAGUGCGGUAGGGGAGAUUGGAAUUCCUGGUGUAGCGGUGGAAUGCGCAGAUAUCAGGAGGAACACCGAUGGCGAAGGCAGAUCUCUGGGCCGUAACUGACGCUGAGGAGCGAAAGCAUGGGGAGCGAACAGGAUUAGAUACCCUGGUAGUCCAUGCCGUAAACGUUGGGCGCUAGAUGUAGGGACCUUUCCACGGUUUCUGUGUCGUAGCUAACGCAUUAAGCGCCCCGCCUGGGGAGUACGGCCGCAAGGCUAAAACUCAAAGGAAUUGACGGGGGCCCGCACAAGCGGCGGAGCAUGCGGAUUAAUUCGAUGCAACGCGAAGAACCUUACCAAGGCUUGACAUACACCGGAAACGGCCAGAGAUGGUCGCCCCCUUGUGGUCGGUGUACAGGUGGUGCAUGGUUGUCGUCAGCUCGUGUCGUGAGAUGUUGGGUUAAGUCCCGCAACGAGCGCAACCCUCGUUCUAUGUUGCCAGCGGGUUAUGCCGGGGACUCAUAGGAGACUGCCGGGGUCAACUCGGAGGAAGGUGGGGAUGACGUCAAAUCAUCAUGCCCCUUAUGUCUUGGGCUUCACGCAUGCUACAAUGGCCGGUACAAAGGGCUGCGAUACCGUAAGGUGGAGCGAAUCCCAAAAAGCCGGUCUCAGUUCGGAUUGAGGUCUGCAACUCGACCUCAUGAAGUCGGAGUCGCUAGUAAUCGCAGAUCAGCAACGCUGCGGUGAAUACGUUCCCGGGCCUUGUACACACCGCCCGUCAAGUCAUGAAAGUCGGUAACACCCGAAGCCGGUGG
This 1385-nucleotide ribosomal RNA is filed under the name uncultured bacterium. RNAcentral describes it as "bacterial SSU rRNA". It matches the Rfam family "Bacterial small subunit ribosomal RNA". The record is from RNAcentral.